RNAcentral lists this long non-coding RNA (209 nucleotides) under Lathyrus oleraceus (garden pea). RNAcentral describes it as "Pisum sativum (pea) long non-coding RNA (PSAT_LNC011548)". Lineage: Eukaryota; Viridiplantae; Streptophyta; Magnoliopsida; Fabales; Fabaceae. The record is from RNAcentral.
UCCUGGUUACUUCUCCUUUUGGAUUUAGAUUCACUUUGUAAACCCACUUCACAUUAAUUACCUUUUUACCUUGUAGCAAUUCAACUAGUGACCAGAUUUAUUAACUUCUAUGGACUUCAGUUCCUCCAUCAUUGCUUGCAUCCAUUUUGAGUCCUUCAAUUCCUCAAUUAGAUUGACUAGCUCAAUAUUUUUAUAGAAAUUAGAGUGUA